UGAACGCUGGCGGCAGGCUUAACACAUGCAAGUCGAGCGGUAACAGAUCCAGCUUGCUGGAUGCUGACGAGCGGCGGACGGGUGAGUAAUGCAUAGGAAACUGCCCAAUAGUGGGGGAUAGCCCGGGGAAACCCGGAUUAAUACCGCAUACGUCCUACGGGAGAAAGCAGGGGCUCUUCGGACCUUGCGCUAUUGGAUGUGCCUAUGUCGGAUUAGCUAGUUGGUGGGGUAAAGGCCUACCAAGGCGACGAUCCGUAGCUGGUCUGAGAGGAUGAUCAGCCACAUCGGGACUGAGACACGGCCCGAACUCCUACGGGAGGCAGCAGUGGGGAAUUUUGCGCAAUGGGGGAAACCCUGACGCAGCAACGCCGCGUGAAGGAUGAAGGCCUUUGGGUCGUAAACUUCUGUCAGAGGGGAAGAAAUGCCCGCAAGGGAGCUGACGGUACCCUCAAAGGAAGCACCGGCUAACUCCGUGCCAGCCGCCGCGGUAAUAC
This 494-nucleotide ribosomal RNA is filed under the name bacterium enrichment culture clone NKeA5L1. RNAcentral describes it as "bacterial SSU rRNA". It matches the Rfam family "Bacterial small subunit ribosomal RNA", at positions 30 to 526 of the family's 1533-position model. The record is from RNAcentral.